RNAcentral lists this ribosomal RNA (253 nucleotides) under uncultured bacterium. Its description in RNAcentral is "partial 16S ribosomal RNA". It matches the Rfam family "Bacterial small subunit ribosomal RNA", at positions 524 to 776 of the family's 1533-position model. The record is from RNAcentral.
AACGGGGGAUGCAAGUGUUAUCCGGAAUUACUGGGCGUAAAGCGUUUGUAGGUGGUUUAAUAAGUCAACUGUUAAAUCUUGAAGCUUAACUUUAAAACUGUAGUUGAAACUGUUAAACUAGAGUAUAGUAGAGGUAGAAGGAAUUUCCAGUGGAGUGGUGAAAUGCGUAGAUAUUGGAAAGAACACCGACAGCGAAAGCAUUUUACUGGGCUAUUACUGACACUCAGAAACUAAAGCUAGGGUAGCGAAUGGG